GAGUUCAUGCCCUUACGGGUAGAUCUCCCACCCUAUGUUAUCAUUACUUUGUUGCUUUGGCGGGCCGUCAGGCUCACGCCCGGCUACCGGCUUCGGCUGGUAAGCGCCCGCCAGAGGACCCAAAACCCUGAAUAUUAGUGUCGUCUGAGUACUAUAUAAUAGUUAAAACUUUCAACAACGGAUCUCUUGGUUCUGGCAUCGAUGAAGAACGCAGCGAAAUGCGAUAAGUAAUGUGAAUUGCAGAAUUCAGUGAAUCAUCGAAUCUUUGAACGCACAUUGCGCCCCUUGGUAUUCCGGGGGGCAUGCCUGUUCGAGCGUCAUUACAACCCUCAAGCCUAGCUUGGUAUUGGGCCUCGCCACUAACCUGGCGGGCCUUAAAAUUAGUGGCGGUGCCGUCGUGGCCCUGAGCGUAGUAAAUAUCCUCGCUAUAGGGACCCGGCGGUUACUGGCCAGCAACCCCCAACUUUUCUAAGUUUGACCUCGGAUCAGGUAGGGAUACCCGCUGAACUUAAGCAUAUC
This 519-nucleotide ribosomal RNA is filed under the name fungal sp. KRP54. RNAcentral's name for it is "eukaryotic LSU rRNA". The stretch from base 167 to 320 matches the Rfam family "5.8S ribosomal RNA". Lineage: Eukaryota; Fungi. The record is from RNAcentral.